GACGAACGCUGGCGGCGUGCUUAACACAUGCAAGUCGAACGGGAUCCGGGCUUUCGGGUUUGGUGAGAGUGGCGAACGGGUGAGUAACACGUGAGUAACCUGCCCCCUUCUUUGGGAUAACGUCGGGAAAUCGGCGCUAAUACUGGAUAUUCUUGCUGCAUCGCAUGGUGUGGUUUGGAAAGGGUUUCUGGUGGGGGAUGGGCUCGCGGCCUAUCAGCUUGUUGGUGGGGUGAUGGCCUACCAAGGCUUUGACGGGUAGCCGGCCUGAGAGGGUGUCCGGCCACACUGGGACUGAGACACGGCCCAGACUCCUACGGGAGGCAGCAGUGGGGAAUAUUGCACAAUGGGCGCAAGCCUGAUGCAGCGACGCCGCGUGAGGGAUGACGGCCUUCGGGUUGUAAACCUCUUUCAGUAUGGAACAAGGAUCCUUCUUUUGGGGGGUUUGAGGGUACGUGCAGAAGAAGCGCCGGCUAACUACGUG
RNAcentral lists this ribosomal RNA (481 nucleotides) under uncultured bacterium. RNAcentral's name for it is "partial 16S ribosomal RNA". It matches the Rfam family "Bacterial small subunit ribosomal RNA", at positions 28 to 507 of the family's 1533-position model. The record is from RNAcentral.